RNAcentral lists this microRNA (25 nucleotides) under Anopheles gambiae (African malaria mosquito). Its description in RNAcentral is "aga-miR-10363-5p". Lineage: Eukaryota; Metazoa; Arthropoda; Insecta; Diptera; Culicidae. The record is from miRBase by way of RNAcentral.
CGCGCUUGGGCCGCUCAGCCGGUAC